This 454-nucleotide ribosomal RNA is filed under the name uncultured bacterium. RNAcentral's name for it is "partial 16S ribosomal RNA". It matches the Rfam family "Bacterial small subunit ribosomal RNA", at positions 28 to 507 of the family's 1533-position model. The record is from RNAcentral.
GAUGAACGCUGACAGAAUGCUUAACACAUGCAAGUCAACUUGAACUUCGGUUUGGGUGGCGGACGGGUGAGUAACGCGUAAAGAACUUGCCUCACAGUUAGGGACAACAUUUGGAAACGAAUGCUAAUACCUGAUAUUAUGAUUUUAGGGCAUCCUAGAAUUAUGAAAGCUAUAUGCGCUGUGAGAGAGCUUUGCGUCCCAUUAGCUAGUUGGAGAGGUAACGGCUCACCAAGGCGAUGAUGGGUAGCCGGCCUGAGAGGGUGAACGGCCACAAGGGGAAUGAGACACGGCCCUAACGCAUACGGGAGGCAGGAGUGGGGAAUAUUGGACAAUGGACCAAGAGUCUGAUCAAGCAAUUCUGUGUGAAAGAUGAAGUGUUUCGGAAUGUAAAGUGCUUUCAGUUGGGAAGAAAAAAAUGACGAUACCAACAGAAGAAGUGACGGCUAAAUACGUG